RNAcentral lists this ribosomal RNA (840 nucleotides) under Triticum aestivum (bread wheat). RNAcentral describes it as "partial small subunit ribosomal RNA". The record is from RNAcentral. Lineage: Eukaryota; Viridiplantae; Streptophyta; Magnoliopsida; Poales; Poaceae.
AUGGACAUACACCGCUCCGUAUGCACUGCCGCCGUCGUGCUACUAUUAUUAUCAUUUUCCAGCUUCCCAAAGCCGUCCGCCGGCUCCGCCGCUAGAGCCGAGCUCGUCACGUGGAAGUGCGACAACGGCACGUACUACGGUGAGAACUCCACCUACCAGUCCAACGUCCGCAGCCUUCUUGCGUCCCUCGCCGCGAACGCCUCCCGCUCGUUAUUCCCGGUGGGAUUCGCCACCGCCGUCGUCGGCGCAAGCCCCGACAUGGUGUGGGGUCUGGGGCUCUGCCGCGGGGACACCACCAACGGCACCGAGUGCGCGUCCUCCUGCCUGGACCUCGCGCCGGAGGUCGCGUUCGGCAGGUGCAUGGGCGUCAAAGACGUGUCCAUCUUCUACGACCGCUGCACCGUCCGCUACUCUUUCCGGGACUUCCUCACCAGCCCGGACAACCGGCAGGUGCAGGUCUGGGGAGCCAGCGACGACUCCGUCGCCCCCCGAGACACCGGCCGGUUCGACGCGCUCGUAGCGAGCCUCGUCGGCGCGCUCUCCGACUGGGCGGCGUUCAACACGACGACCAGGUACGCCUCCGGGGUCUUGGUCUCCGACCAGGGCUUCCCGACCACCCCCAGCAAGGACUUGGUGCACAGGAUCAACGGCCUGGUGCAGUGCACACCGGACCAGGCGCCGGGCCGGUGCCGCGAGUGCCUCCAGGGGCUCAUCGACGAGAUGCCGGCGGUGUUCAACGGCAGCGUUGGAGGGCGGAUCCUCGCGGUAUGGUGCAACCUCAGGUUCGAGGUGCACGAGUUCUACGACGGCAGCCCCAUGCUGAAGCUCACCGCCCCGUAG